Molecule: ribosomal RNA, 99 nt
Filed under: uncultured bacterium
Lineage: Bacteria
Description: partial 16S ribosomal RNA
Source: RNAcentral
CGGCCCUACGGGUUGUAAACUGCUUUUAUACUGGAAUAAACCUCAGGUCGUGACCUGGGCUGAAUGUACAGUAAGAAUAAGGAUCGGCUAACUCCGUGC